AAUAAAUCAAAAUGAAAUAAACACUAAUACUGUUGAGAGAAAUGAACUGAAUUUAAAUUCAAAUAUGAAAACCAAAAUAAUUUUAAACAACCAAUGCCAGCAAAACAAAACAAUUAGUAACAGACAAUAUGCAAUGAAAGAACGGAAAGGAAAAAAAGCACAACAACAUAAAACGAAACAAAAUAAUAAAGAAAGCAAACCAGGAACAACCAACAACUCAACCGAAUGCAACAAAUAGAAUAUAUACAUAUAACAAAGAAAUAUGAGCGGGUCCAACAGAGCAACAGCGGUCCUACAGCGUCACCACAGCGAUCUUGCAGCCAUUAUAUUCCAGACGCCAUCGAUCAGGCAACACCUACAAUCACAUGUGAAAGAGGAAAGAAAACACCAUACCGGUGUCACACUGGGAGGGAAAGCGUCCUACUAUAAAGCUGUGCACGCUCCGCCUAAGACAAGAUUUACUGCGUUACAUGGGCAAAAGGCAACGAGUCAGAUGAAGGGUGACAACCGGGAAGUGGGAGGUAUCGAAGCCGCCAUGGCAGACCAGGACAAAGCAGCUUCCGUAACUGUGGAGGAUUACCGCAGUUACGUCGAUCAGCUGCUAUUCUGGAAAGCCCAGCCCGGCAUUCGGGCCCAAGAGGGAGGAUUCCCCGGCAUGGAGACGGGUGAGCCGGAAUUGGGAUAUUCUGCACCAGCUGUCUCUCGAGGAGGGCGCGCACCUCGCGAAAGCGGUGCGCGAAAAUUUCCGGCAGCUGGCCGAGCUCCGGGAGGAGCGCUACGUCGCGCCUAGAGAGCCGGGGACGAUCCUUUCGCCGUCCGUCUUUCCGGACGUCGCGCCGCCUCCUGCCCUGUUUUUGCCUGAUCGUCUGCCUCUCUGCCCGUCACCCUGUCCGUGCGCCUCAUCCGCAAUCCACGAGCGUGACACAGUGAUAUUGGAUCACCUUUUUUGUAGAAUUUUAUUUGGUAGCAGCCAUUGUUUAACACUGCUUAAUAUGUUAUAAUUGCAUUUAUUAAUGCAUUUAGAAGCAGCACUUUGUUUUCUUAAGUUGUACAAGCUGCAUUCAAUGCAAAAAUCCUUCCAUCCCAGAGCAUUUAUGGGACGCAGUCUAAACACUCAUCAUUCAUGAUGCAAAACGCAAAGAAUAUGAAAUAAAUUUUCUCCAAAAUCACUGUAAGAGAUUUUAUCCUACCUCACUGCUUUUAUUAAUGAAGGACUCUUCCAUUAUAGAUGUGUUAUAUUCACAAUUUUCAAAUGCUGGAUGCUUUGUUAUGAAGCUACUACUAAUAAAUUGUUUCAUAAAUCGGAA
Long non-coding RNA from Brienomyrus brachyistius, 1307 nucleotides. RefSeq lists it as uncharacterized. The record is from RefSeq and is a predicted model, not a curated record. The transcript is spliced from 2 exons. Lineage: Eukaryota; Metazoa; Chordata; Actinopteri; Osteoglossiformes; Mormyridae.